Molecule: long non-coding RNA, 601 nt
Filed under: Musa acuminata (dwarf banana)
Lineage: Eukaryota; Viridiplantae; Streptophyta; Magnoliopsida; Zingiberales; Musaceae
Description: long non-coding RNA (MACU_LNC002726)
Source: RNAcentral
CUUCUUAUGAUGAUCAGACCAGGACAGGAACAGCAACUCUAAUUUCCUCUAUCGUGCCUUAGCAGCAACACUUGCUCGAAGAGUCUAUUAUAGUGAUAAAAUGAUAGGGCAUAAACAUUAGUAACUUUCAGGUUCAUGCCACUAGUAGUUAAACGUUAAUGUUGUCCAAAGGCAAUUACCAGAUCAUGUUUCCAUUUCUCUGUGAUUUGCUCCCCCGCUCUUGUUGCCUUCGCUUCUGCCUGCUUGCAUUGAGAACCAUUUAAUAUGACGGAUAAGCAACAACAAAUUACGGAAAGGUGAUAAGCUGGACGCUCAAACAGAAGCAACAUGUUUCCUCUGCAUCUAAUAAUCAUGCUUAUAUCCAAAGUGAACGACUGACGAACAUAAUUCACAUUUAGAAUGACCUCAAGAACUACAAAGAAUAGAAGACUUCCUCCACAUGCCGGAUAGAACUCGCAGAAAGUGACAUGCAUUAUUAUAAGCAACCUAGUGGGGAAAUAAAACAGAUUGAUCACUGCACAAAAUAGAAGACAAAGUUUACUCACCCUUCUCAAUGAGUCUGACCUACGCAUGUCCGCAUCCUUCUCAAUGAUAAUUUCUC